Cyprinus carpio carpio is the source of this 3449-nucleotide long non-coding RNA. The record is from Ensembl. NCBI's taxonomy places the organism in Eukaryota, Metazoa, Chordata, Actinopteri, Cypriniformes, Cyprinidae.
AUGCAUAGUCACACACAACAACGGCAGCCACAGCAGCAGUGCGAGACCCGCACGAGAAACAGAACAGCUGAUUCGAACGAUACGCGAGGGAAAGGCAAUCAUGCAAUCGGAGCUUACUCUCUCCAAUGUCCACACCUGAUGCCGGAAGCAGCCACAGUACAGCGUUCGCGACGCGUAAGUGACGUUGACAAUGACGCUGACCUCAAGCACAGCAGGUCUACCGCCCUUUAUAUCCCCAUAAUGACAGCCAAUUGGCUUACGACCCACAUAAUUAUUAGGGAAAGUAAUGGGCUUCCCCACCACACAAGCAAAAGUUUAGAUCACAUUCACUGCUGACCAUGCUUUUCCACAUGGCCUCCAUCACAUCUGCAUCUCCAUUAGGAGCGGAAGCUGCAGUCCAGUAGAGGUGGUUAAUAACAGCUGGCCUUCACUGCUUCAGAUCUUCUUCACACUCCCUCAUUACUUGCUCAAUUCUUGCUUCAGUAUCCCAUGUUGAACUGCAUCAUAUCGCCGGGCUGAUAAUUAAGUAAGUUACACACCACCGCAUCUCUCGAAGCAGAUGCAUUUGUGAAGUCCCGUCUCUUCACCUGCACAAACACACACAGGCCCAGAAGAUACCGUCCUAUUUCUUGUUAGGAAACCUGUGGACUCGAUGUCCUGACAGGCUGGACCACAAACGCAAUAAUUUACCAUGACGAUGAUAAAUUGAAAUAAAAUAACUACUGAAAACACACUGACUGACGUCCACUCAAAAUAGAGCACAGCACACUCUUGUGACAUAAUAUGACGCGAUGUUAGAAAUUUUUUUUUUUUUUUAGAACUGUCAAGGAAACCAUCACUUUUUCUUCUAAAAUUGUAUCCUCACGUCUUGUAAAACAAUUCAAAUCCUGCAUUAAUGGUUCAUAUGGUAUUUUCAUACAAGGUUAUAUAUUAAUUAGAAUUAUUAUAUUUUUUUUUACCUGCAAUAUAUACUUUAAGACAUAACUAAGUGAAAACUUGCCAAGAUGGACAUUUAGACACAUUUUUUUGUGACUAUUUGUCCAUUUAAGCGCACACCUGAAACCCAAAGUAGCCUACACUAGUCUGUCUUUCAGAUCACAUGCACAGAAAGUUGCUUGGGAAAGCAACAUAUAUUCUAUAGCUGAAUACAAGUUUAUUUAUUUAUUUAAUUUGAGCAUGUCCAGCACAAGACUGUAUAUUAUGACAGUCACAUAAGGUUACAUGAUUUGACUAAUUUGGAUGUUAUUUUAGGAAGUGUGAAAAAGUGUAAAAACUUUAAAGUGUGUAUUUAAAAGUGUGCCACUUUAAAGGAAAGGAACAGCAUGUGGCAUUGUGUUUUCAUAUGCGUUGGAAACUAAAAUCAAAAACCAAUCUAAAAUUCUAUUAAUCGCAGAGCCCUAGAUUCAUCAUUGUAAGCAAGGUGGCCCCAUGGAGGUUAAAGGGUCCAAUGCAACUUGAGUACUUUUUAUCUUUGGUUGCAAGACCGUGACAAUGGCCGUCUUUGAACCUCUCUUACUGUAUGACAUAGGACCACCGAUUAGGAGCCACGAUCACAGAAAUCGCCACGAUUGUUUCACAAUGCCAAUUUUUCAUCUGGGACAGCCGAAAAUUGUCCGGUGUGCCUCGGGAUUAAGGAUGUUCGACCCUAUUCCCACUACACUGCCCAUGCCUCCUCUGUGGCAGACACUCAUGGUGCUUUCCACCCUCACACUUAUGUCUAUGUUUUGAAUGUUCAGGGCAUGGUGUCUAGAUCCUGACACUUAAGUGUAGACUCAUACUCUGCACAUUUCUGUCUGUCUUGUGUUUUGCUUUCUGUUUGGGCACAUAGAAGAUGAGGUUGUUUACCUGCCAUGUGCUCUUCAGUCCUAUGUGUUGCUUUCUAUUGGAGCACAUGGUUUUUAGUGGCGUCUGUUUGUCAUGACCUCUUACGUGUUGUCUUAAGUGUUUGUGUGAGCACAUAGCUUAUUUUUGUUGUUUCUAAGUGCCAUGUGCUCUUCUUUCAGGCUUUUCUCUUGGCUCUGCCCCUUGUCACAUUUAGCCUACCUUUUUAUUAGUUAAUUUGCCCCAUCUGCUGUUCCUUGUUGCCCUCCUUAAUUUCCUUCCAUUCAGGGGGCAUUUACACAACAACAUUUUCAACUAAAAAGUGAAAACUUGUUAUGUGUUUUGGCCAUCCAUUUACACUACAAUGGCAUUUUGGGGGCCUGAAAACGCAAAUGGGGUUUAAAGAACAAGUUUGUGAUAGUGAUAACAAUAUUGUUUCCAUACAAACUGCAAAAAAAAAAAAAAAAAAAAAAACUUUGAGAAAACAGUGACGUAUUACAUGUUCAGUCUAUAGCAAUGCAUAUGUGCCGCCGUGCUUGCUACGGCGGCACAUAUACUAAAAUUGGAUCGAUACAGAGAAGAUUAGCAUGGCCCCUGCGAAAGGAUGACACGCAAAUCCGUGAAGCGCUCCAUCUUUUUAGGGGGAGUCGUGGCCUAAUGGUAAGAGAGUCGGACUCCCAAUCGAAGGGUUGUGAGUUCGAGUCCCGGGCCGGCAGGAAUUGUGGGUGGGGGGAGUGCAUGUACAGUUCUCUCUCCACCUUCAAUACCACGACUUAGGUGCCCUUGAGCAAGGCAUCGAACCCCCAACUGCUCCCCGGGCGCCGCAGCAUAAAAUGGCUGCCCACUGCUCCGGGUGUGUGUUCACAGUGUGUGUGUGUGUUCACUGCUCUGUGUGUGUGCACUUCGGAUGGGUUAAAUGCAGAGCACUAAUUCUGAGUAUGGGUCACCAUACUUGGCUGAAUGUCACGUCACUUUUAUGUGCGCAGGCGCGUAGUACUUUUUUUACAAAGUAGCAUCGCCAACUACUGGCCUGGCAUGAAUAAUAAGUUUUAGUUGUUUUCACAAUAAGGAUUGUUUUGAUGUUUGCUUUGUGUAUGUCUGUUUAUCACUCCCUGCUCCUUACUUGUUUAGUAAAGUUUUUUUUUUUUUUUUUUUUCAGUGUUGCACUACUACGGGUCAUUUUUCAGCCAAGUGUACAGUGUACAGUUUUGUUAUAAGCCCAGAAAGAAGCAAAGUAGGUGUAGCAUGUUGUCACAUGAUCUUAUCAGAUUAAAAUUUCUUUUGAGCAAUGAUAUAUUUAGACAUUUAUAAAAGGGAGUUGUGUGAAUUAGUUAUUUUGCAUGUUAUUGAACUAUACUGAAAUAAAGAGAAAUAGAUGAUCACAUGUGUUUUUGAGUUUACUAGCAAAUCAUGUUACCACAUUACUAUGUAAAAACACCUGCUAAAGAUAAUAUGACCGCAGUCACACAGCAAGCAGCUCUACAUUUUAAUCAUUAAUAGAUUAAUUCCUGCCAGGGGCAUUCAUGAAUGUGUCUGACUGUCCUCACACAGUGAGGCCGGCUGAAGACUACUAUUUCAGCAAUGUGUAAUUACACAGACAGACAGAAGAGAACAAAAGAUCAGAUGAC